CAGCCGCCGCGGUAAUACGAAGGGGGCUAGCGUUGCUCGGAAUGACUGGGCGUAAAGGGCGCGUAGGCGGCGAUCAAAGUCAGGCGUGAAAUUCCUGGGCUCAACCUGGGGGCUGCGCUUGAUACUUGGUUGCUUGAGUGGGGAAGAGGGUCGUGGAAUUCCCAGUGUAGAGGUGAAAUUCGUAGAUAUUGGGAAGAACACCGGUGGCGGAGGCGGCGACCUGGUCCUUGACUGACGCUGAGGCGCGAAAGCGUGGUGAGCAAACAGGAUUAGAUACCCCCGUAGUCCCUGUCUCUUAUAC
This 301-nucleotide ribosomal RNA is filed under the name uncultured bacterium. RNAcentral describes it as "partial 16S ribosomal RNA". It matches the Rfam family "Bacterial small subunit ribosomal RNA", at positions 509 to 807 of the family's 1533-position model. The record is from RNAcentral.